AUUGAACGCUGGCGGCAUGCCUUACACAUGCAAGUCGAACGGUAACAGGUCUUCGGAUGCUGACGAGUGGCGAACGGGUGAGUAAUAUAUCGGAACGUGCCCAGUCGUGGGGGAUAACGCAGCGAAAGCUGUGCUAAUACCGCAUACGAUCUAUGGAUGAAAGCGGGGGAUCGCAAGACCUCGCGCGAUUGGAGCGGCCGAUAUCAGAUUAGGUAGUUGGUGGGGUAAAGGCCCACCAAGCCAACGAUCUGUAGCUGGUCUGAGAGGACGACCAGCCACACUGGAACUGAGACACGGUCCAGACUCCUACGGGAGGCAGCAGUGGGGAAUUUUGGACAAUGGGCGCAAGCCUGAUCCAGCAAUGCCGCGUGCAGGAUGAAGGCCUUCGGGUUGUAAACUCCUGUCUGGGGGAUGAACACUGACAGUACCCCGGAGGAACGCCCCGGCUAACUACGUG
RNAcentral lists this ribosomal RNA (457 nucleotides) under uncultured bacterium. RNAcentral describes it as "bacterial SSU rRNA". It matches the Rfam family "Bacterial small subunit ribosomal RNA", at positions 30 to 507 of the family's 1533-position model. The record is from RNAcentral.